RNAcentral lists this ribosomal RNA (314 nucleotides) under uncultured cyanobacterium. Its description in RNAcentral is "partial 16S ribosomal RNA". Lineage: Bacteria; Bacillati; Cyanobacteriota. The record is from RNAcentral.
ACGUGUUGGAAGUCAUCAGUUCGAGCCUGAUUAUCCCUAAGCCCAAUGUGAGUUUUUGCUAGUUGGAUUUGCUCCCCCGCCGUCGUUCAAUGAGAAUGGAUAAGAGGCUCGUGGGAUUGACGUGAGGGGGCAGGGAUGGCUAUAUUUCUGGGAAAGAACUCCGGGCACUCAUGAAGCGCAUGGAUACAAGUUAUGCCCAGGAAUGAAAGACAAUUCCGAAUCCGCUUUGUCUACGAACAAGGAUGCUAUAAGUAAUGCAACUAUGAAUGUCAUGGAGAGUUCGAUCCUGGCUCAGGAUGAACGCUUGCGGCAUG